UUUCUUAAGAGCUCAUGUGACCAGGU
RNAcentral lists this non-coding RNA (26 nucleotides) under Cricetulus griseus (Chinese hamster). Lineage: Eukaryota; Metazoa; Chordata; Mammalia; Rodentia; Cricetidae. The record is from RNAcentral.